RNAcentral lists this ribosomal RNA (440 nucleotides) under uncultured bacterium. RNAcentral describes it as "bacterial SSU rRNA". It matches the Rfam family "Bacterial small subunit ribosomal RNA", at positions 338 to 770 of the family's 1533-position model. The record is from RNAcentral.
CCUACGGGAGGCAGCAGUGGGGAAUAUUGGACAAUGGGCGCAAGCCUGAUCCAGCCAUACCGCGUGUGUGAAGAAGGCCUUCGGGUUGUAAAGCACUUUAAGCAGGGAGAAAAAGUUAUAAGUUAAUACCUUAUAACCGUGAUGUUACCUGCAGAAUAAGCACCGGCUAAUUCCGUGCCAGCAGCCGCGGUAAUACGGAAGGUGCAAGCGUUAAUCGGAAUUACUGGGCGUAAAGCGCGCGUAGGUGGUUUGUUAAGUUGGAUGUGAAAGCCCUGGGCUCAACCUAGGAACUGCAUCCAAAACUAACUCACUAGAGUACGAUAGAGGGAGGUAGAAUUCAUAGUGUAGCGGUGGAAUGCGUAGAUAUUAUGAAGAAUACCAGUGGCGAAGGCGGCCUCCUGGAUCUGUACUGACACUGAGGUGCGAAAGCGUGGGUAGCG